This 492-nucleotide ribosomal RNA is filed under the name uncultured bacterium. Its description in RNAcentral is "bacterial SSU rRNA". It matches the Rfam family "Bacterial small subunit ribosomal RNA", at positions 28 to 507 of the family's 1533-position model. The record is from RNAcentral.
GAUGAACGCUAGCUACAGGCUUAACACAUGCAAGUCGAGGGGAAACGAUAGAGAAAGCUUGCUUUUUCUAGGCGUCGACCGGCGCACGGGUGAGUAACGCGUAUCCAACCUGCCCACCACUUGGGGAUAACCUUGCGAAAGUAAGACUAAUACCCAAUGACGUCUCUAGAAGACAUCUGAAAGGGAUUAAAGAUUUAUCGGUGUAUGAUGGAUCCGCGUCUGAUUAGGCAGUUGGCGGGGUAACGGCCCACCAUGGCGACGAUCGGUAGCCGGACUGAGAGGUUGAACGGCCACAUUGGGACUGAGACACGGUCCAAACUCCUACGGGAGGCAGCAGUGAGGAAUAUUGGUCAAUGGGCGAGAGCCUGAACCAGCCAAGUAGCGUGCAGGAUGACGGCCCUAUGGGUUGUAAACUGCUUUUAUAAGGGAAUAAAGUUAGUCUCGUGAGACUUUUUGCAUGUACCUUAUGAAUAAGGACCGGCUAAUUCCGUG